AUUGAACGCUGGCGGCAUGCCUUACACAUGCAAGUCGAACGGUAACAGGUCUUCGGAUGCUGACGAUUGGCGAACGGGUGAGUAAUGCAUCGGAACGUGCCCAGUUGUGGGGGAUAACUGCUCGAAAGAGCAGCUAAUACCGCAUCCGACCUGAGGGUGAAAGCGGGGGAUCGCAAGACCUCGCGCAAUUGGAGCGGCAGAUGUCAGAUUAGGUAGUUGGUGGGGUAAAGGCCUACCAAGCCGACGAUCUGUAGGUGGUCUGAGAGGACGACCAGCCACACUGGGACUGAGACACGGCCCAGACUCCUACGGGAGGCAGCAGUGGGGAAUUUUGGACAAUGGGCGCAAGCCUGAUCCAGCAAUGCCGCGUGCAGGAAGAAGGCCUUCGGGUUGUAAACUGCUUUUGUCAGGGAAGAAAUCCUCUGGGUUAAUACCCCGGGGGGAUGACGGUACCUGAAGAAUAAGCACCGGCUAACUACGUGCCAGCCGCCGCAGUAA
RNAcentral lists this ribosomal RNA (498 nucleotides) under uncultured bacterium. RNAcentral describes it as "partial 16S ribosomal RNA". It matches the Rfam family "Bacterial small subunit ribosomal RNA", at positions 30 to 523 of the family's 1533-position model. The record is from RNAcentral.